This 1236-nucleotide long non-coding RNA is filed under the name Salmo trutta (river trout). RNAcentral describes it as "lncRNA (ENSSTUG00000007868.1)". Lineage: Eukaryota; Metazoa; Chordata; Actinopteri; Salmoniformes; Salmonidae. The record is from RNAcentral.
AUGUUUUAUGAGAUUCUAGAACACAUUGGGAGGGAUAUUAGACCAUUCCUUCAUACAGAAUCCUACCAGAUGUUUUAUGAGAUUCUAGAACACAUUGGGAGGGAUAUUAGACCAUUCCUUCAUACAGAAUCCUACCAGAUGUUUUAUGAGAUUCUAGAACACAUUGGGAGGGAUCUUAGACCAUUCCUUCAUACAGAAUCCUACCAGAUGUUUUAUGAGAUUCUAGAACACAUUGGGAGGGAUAUUAGACCAUUCCUUCAUACAGAAUCCUACCAGAUGUUUUAUGAGAUUCUAGAACACAUUGGGAGGGAUAUUAGACCAUUCCUUCAUACAGAAUCCUACCAGAUGUUUUAUGAGAUUCUAGAACACAUUGGGAGGGAUCUUAGACCAUUCCUUCAUACAGAAUCCUACCAGAUGUUUUAUGAGAUUCUAGAACACAUUGGGAGGGAUAUUAGACCAUUCCUUCAUACAGAAUCCUACCAGAUGUUUUAUGAGAUUCUAGAACACAUUGGGAGGGAUCUUAGACCAUUCCUUCAUACAGAAUCCUACCAGAUGUUUUAUGAGAUUCUAGAACACAUUGGGAGGGAUAUUAGACCAUUCCUUCAUACAGAAUCCUACCAGAUGUUUUAUGAGAUUCUAGAACACAUUGGGAGGGAUCUUAGACCAUUCCUUCAUACAGAAUCCUACCAGAUGUUUUAUGAGAUUCUAGAACACAUUGGGAGGGAUCUUAGACCAUUCCUUCAUACAGAAUCCUACCAGAUGUUUUACGAGAUUCUAGAACACAUUGGGAGGGAUCUUAGACCAUUCCUUCAUACAGAAUCCUACCAGAUGUUUUACGAGAUUCUAGAACACAUUGGGAGGGAUCUUAGACCAUUCCUUCAUACAGAAUCCUACCAGAUGUUUUAUGAGAUUCUAGAACACAUUGGGAGGGAUCUUAGACCAUUCCUUUAUACAGAAUCCAACCAGAUAUUUUAUGAGAUUCUAGAACACAUUGGGAGGGAUAUUAGACCAUUCCUUCAUACAGAAUCCGACCAGAUGUUUUAUGAGAUUCUAGAACACAUUGGGAGGGAUCUUAGACCAUUCCUUCAUACAGAAUCCUACCAGAUGUUUUACGAGAUUCUAGAACACAUUUGGAGGGAUCUUAGACCAUUCUUCAAUACAGAAUCUUUUCAGAUCCUUGAUAUAGUCUGUGUUUAUGGAUGUCCCCUUAAAAUUCAAACCAAAGAUUUUCAAUGA